AGUUGUGUGGCCGAGUGGUCUAUGGCGCCGGACUUAAGAUCCGUUCCUCGAAAGGGGGUCGUGGGUUCGAAUCCCACCGCAACUA
This is a non-coding RNA of Coemansia sp. Benny D160-2, 85 nucleotides long. NCBI's taxonomy places the organism in Eukaryota, Fungi, Kickxellomycota, Kickxellomycetes, Kickxellales, Kickxellaceae. The record is from the annotation of a GenBank genome assembly.